UGAGUACGAGCUGCUACGGCAGCAAAGUGGGUGACGUCAAGCUUCCAAGAAAAGCCCUAUACCCGUUAAGGCAUGAUGGCCUGUACCCGAAACCGACACAGGUAGGAUGGUAGAGAAUACCGAGGGGCGCGAGGUAACUCUCUCUAAGGAACUCGGCAAAAUGGCCCCGUAACUUCGGGAGAAGGGGUGCCACCGCAAGGUGGUCGCAGUGAAGAGGCCCAGGCGACUGUUUACCAAAAACACAGGUCUCCGCUAAGUCGCAAGACGAUGUAUGGGGGCUGACGCCUGCCCAGUGCCGGAAGGUUAAGGAAGCUGGUCAGCGUAAGCGAAGCUAGCGACUGAAGCCCCGGUGAACGGCGGCCGUAACUAUAACGGUCCUAAGGUAGCGAAAUUCCUUGUCGGGUAAGUUCCGACCCGCACGAAAGGCGUAACGAUCUGGGCGCUGUCUCGGAGAGAGGCUCGGCGAAAUAGAAUUGUCUGUGAAGAUGCGGACUACGUGCACCCGGACAGAAAGACCCUAUGAAGCUCUACUGUAGCUUGGUAUUGUGCCCGGGCUCUGAAUGCGCAGGAUAGGUGGGAGGCUUUGAUCAACAGCUUGCGGGUUGUUGUGAGCCAACGGUGAGAUACCACUCUUUCAGAGCUAGGGUUCUAACGGUCACCCGUUAUCCGGGGACCGGACAGUAUCAGGUGGGCAGUUUGACUGGGGCGGUCGCCUCCUAAAAGGUAACGGAGGCGCGCAAAGGUUUGCUCAGGCUGGUUGGAAAUCAGCCGACGAGUGUAAAAGCAGAAGCAAGCUUGACUGUGAGACCUACAAGUCGAACAGGGACGAAAGUCGGCUUUAGUGAUCCGACGGUUCUGAGUGGAAGGGCCGUCGCUCAACGGAUAUAAGUUACUCUAGGAUAACAGGCUGAUCUCCCCCAAGAGUUCACAUCGACGGGGAGGUUUGGCACCUCGAUGUCGGCUCAUCGCAACCUGGGGCUGAAGUCGGUCCCAAGGGUUGGGCUGUUCGCCCAUUAAAGCGGUACGCGAGCUGGGUUCAGAACGUCGUGAGACAGCUCGGUCCAUAUCCGGUGCAUGCGCAGGAAUAUUGAGAGGAGUUCUCCCUAGUACGAGAGGACCGGGAGGAACGCACCUCUGGUGUACCAGUUAUCGUGCCAACGGUAAACGCUGGGUAGCCAUGUGCGGAGAGGAUAACCGCUGAAAGCAUCUAAGUGGGAAGCCCACCUCAAGAUGAGUAUUCCCAUGGCAUAAGCCAGUAAGGUCACGGGAAGAACACCCGUUGAUAGGCUCUACGUGGAAGCGCAGUAAUGCGUGAAGCGGAGGAGUACUAAUAGACCGAGGGCUUGAC
RNAcentral lists this ribosomal RNA (1348 nucleotides) under metagenome. RNAcentral's name for it is "bacterial LSU rRNA". It matches the Rfam family "Bacterial large subunit ribosomal RNA", at positions 1564 to 2925 of the family's 2925-position model. The record is from RNAcentral.